AUUGAACGCUGGCGGCAGGCCUAACACAUGCAAGUCGAGCGGAGCGGCGGACGGGUGAGUAAUGCCUAGGAAUCUGCCUGGUAGUGGGGGAUAACGUCCGGAAACGGGCGCUAAUACCGCAUACUAUCAGAUGAGCCUAGGUCGGAUUAGCUAGUUGGUGGGGUAAAGGCCUACCAAGGCGACGAUCCGUAACUGGUCUGAGAGGAUGAUCAGUCACACUGGAACUUAUGCCCGGUCCCGACUCCUACGGGCGGCAGCAGUGGGGAAUAUUGGCGAAGUGGCGAAAGCCUGAUCCAGCAAUGCGGCGUGUGAGAAGAAGGUCUUAGGAUUGUAAAGCACUUUAAGUUGGGAGGCGUUACCAACAGAAUAAGCACCGGCUAACUUCGUGCCAGCAGCCGCGGUAAUGC
This 407-nucleotide ribosomal RNA is filed under the name uncultured bacterium. RNAcentral's name for it is "partial 16S ribosomal RNA". It matches the Rfam family "Bacterial small subunit ribosomal RNA", at positions 30 to 526 of the family's 1533-position model. The record is from RNAcentral.